GGUGCUGCAUGGCUGUCGUCAGCUCGUGUCGUGAGAUGUGGUUAAGUCCCGCAACGAGCGCAACCCUUGUCAUUAGUUGCUACAUUCAGUUGGGCACUCUAAUGAGACUGCCGGUGACAAGCCGGAGGAAGUGGGGAUGACGUCAAGUCCUCAUGGCCCUUAUAGGUGGGGCUACACACGUCAUACAAUGGCUGGUACAAAGGGUUGCCAACCCGCGAGGGGGAGCCAAUCCCAUAAAGCCAGUCGUAGUCCGGAUCGUAGUCUGCAACUCGACUACGUGAAGUUGGAAUCGCUAGUAAUCGUGGAUCAGAAUGUCACGGUGAAUACGUUCCCGGGCCUU
Molecule: ribosomal RNA, 340 nt
Filed under: uncultured Rhodoferax sp.
Lineage: Bacteria; Pseudomonadati; Pseudomonadota; Betaproteobacteria; Burkholderiales; Comamonadaceae
Description: bacterial SSU rRNA
Rfam family: Bacterial small subunit ribosomal RNA
Source: RNAcentral